GGACUACCAGGGUUUCUAAUCCUGUUUGCUCCCCACGCUGUCGCGCAUCAGCGUCAGCCACACCCCAGCGAGCCGCCUUCGCCACCGGUGUUCUUCCGGAUCUCUACGCAUUCCACCGCUACACCCGGAAUUCCACUCGCCUCUAGUGUGCUCCAGCCAAACAGUCGGUCCGGCAGACCCGGGGUUGAGCCCCGGGCUUUCACCGCCCCCUUAUUCGGCCGCCUACGCGCCCUUUACGCCCAGUGAUUCCGGACAACGCUCGCACCCUCCGUAUUACCGCGGCGGCUGGCAC
Molecule: ribosomal RNA, 292 nt
Filed under: uncultured bacterium
Lineage: Bacteria
Description: partial 16S ribosomal RNA
Source: RNAcentral